Molecule: long non-coding RNA, 230 nt
Organism: Sander lucioperca (pikeperch)
Lineage: Eukaryota; Metazoa; Chordata; Actinopteri; Perciformes; Percidae
Exons: 3
Source: RefSeq, a predicted model, not a curated record
CAGGGUUGAUCCACGGCAACAAAUAUGGGAGUGAAUGUCACCGCAGCCCUCUCCAGCCCUCCAGGGCUGAACCUCGCAGACGUCAAGUGUUAAUUUAGGGUUCCUGCCGAGCAGGAGCCUGUCAGUGGCGAGGCUUGGAGAAGGGAGAGAGGCGAGGUCUUUAAGAUCAUGGACAUUAGCAGAGAAGACAAGAGAAGAUCAUUUUGAAAAACUCACUUCAUUUGGAGCUG